This is an unclassified non-coding RNA of Erinaceus europaeus (western European hedgehog), 278 nucleotides long. Its record names the gene 7SK. It matches the Rfam family "7SK RNA". Rfam says of the family: 7SK was discovered as an abundant small nuclear RNA in the mid-70s but a possible function has only recently been suggested. Lineage: Eukaryota; Metazoa; Chordata; Mammalia; Eulipotyphla; Erinaceidae. The record is from Ensembl.
GGAAUAUGAGGGCGAUUUGGCUGUGACAUCUGUCACUCCACUGAUUGCCAGGGUUGAUUUGGCUGAUCUGGCUGGCUAGGCGGGUAUCCCCUUCCUCCCUCACCACGCUCCACAUGCCUCCCUCCCAAAGCUGUGGCCUUCCCUGAAUAAUAAGGUUGAGGGCUGCGCUCCUCUGCUAGAACCUCCAAACAAGCUCUCAAGAUAGCUGAUCUGGGAAGACACUUAGUUUGCCAUGUGCAGGUUCCAACAGGUCCUCACUGUACUGAGGGAAGCUAUGG